This 262-nucleotide ribosomal RNA is filed under the name uncultured archaeon. RNAcentral's name for it is "partial 16S ribosomal RNA". It matches the Rfam family "Archaeal small subunit ribosomal RNA", at positions 748 to 1009 of the family's 1478-position model. The record is from RNAcentral.
UAGCCGUAAACGAUACUCGCUAGGUGUCGGCCACGGUGCGACCGUUGUCGGUGCCGUAGGGAAGCCGUGAAGCGAGCCACCUGGGAAGUACGGCCGCAAGGCUGAAACUUAAAGGAAUUGGCGGGGGGAGCACAACAACGGGUGGAGCUUGCGGUUUAAUUGGAUUCAACGCCGGACAACUCACCAGGAGCGACGGUUACAUGAAGGCCAGGCUGAUGACCUUGCCUGAUUUUCCGAGAGGUGGUGCAUGGCGUAGUCGUGU